UUGAGUUCAAAAAAAAGAGGCAUGUGUGGCUUUCAGGGUACAUGGUCACACACAGAAUAACAACUCUGAGCUUCAAUCAAACAACCUAGAGUAUAAUGGCGAUUCAACACAACUAACUACAAGAACAUACUAUCAGUAACAGAAAAAAACAAACUAUUGAACCUAGAUUCUAGAACUCAAUCAAGUUGCAUCUCUUCAGGAAAUGGGAUGGAAGCACAGCAAUGGUAAUAGCCAUCGUCAUCAAACACAAACCUUUGUGAAAGAUGAGCUUCGCGUACAAGAUACUCCCCCCAGUCUUCCAAGCCAUAUUGACCAAAAAUCUUUCGUGCAUCAA
This 334-nucleotide unclassified non-coding RNA is filed under the name Hevea brasiliensis (rubber tree). The record is from RNAcentral. Lineage: Eukaryota; Viridiplantae; Streptophyta; Magnoliopsida; Malpighiales; Euphorbiaceae.